Molecule: ribosomal RNA, 468 nt
Filed under: uncultured bacterium
Lineage: Bacteria
Description: partial 16S ribosomal RNA
Rfam family: Bacterial small subunit ribosomal RNA
Source: RNAcentral
GACGAACGCUGGCGGCGUGCUUAACACAUGCAAGUCGAACGGAAAGGCCCUGCUUUUGCGGGGUGCUCGAGUGGCGAACGGGUGAGUAACACGUGAGUAACCUGCACUUGACUUUGGGAUAACUUCAGGAAACUGGGGCUAAUACCGGAUAGGAGCUCCUGCUGCACGGUGGGGGUUGGAAAGUUUCGGCGGUUGGGGAUGGACUCGCGGCUUAUCAGCUUGUUGGUGGGGUAGUGGCUUACCAAGGCUUUGACGGGUAGCCGGCCUGAGAGGGUGACCGGCCACAUUGGGACUGAGAUACGGCCCAGUCUCCUACGGGAGGCAGCAGUGGGGAAUAUUGCACAAUGGGCGGAAGCCUGAUGCAGCAACGCCGCGUGCGGAAUGACGGCCUUCUGGGUGUAAACCGCUGUCGCCUGUGACGAAGCGUGAGUGACGGUAAUGGGUAAAGAAGCACCGGCUAACUACGUG